RNAcentral lists this long non-coding RNA (451 nucleotides) under Medicago truncatula (barrel medic). RNAcentral's name for it is "lncRNA gene36826". Lineage: Eukaryota; Viridiplantae; Streptophyta; Magnoliopsida; Fabales; Fabaceae. The record is from RNAcentral.
AUGGAUAAUUAUGUGUUUUGCUCAAUUGUUGGAUUGGGAUAUUGUGUUGUUGAAUUAUGGUUGAAUUCAUGUCUAAAUGAAGUGUUGUUGAAGUAGAUAUGUUGUUGUCCUUGAAUGAUAUCAUGAGUAUUCCAUUUUAUGAAAUAAGUUGUUUGUAUUGGUGAAGUUCUGCUAGAUGUUCAAGUGAAGAACCCAAAGUGAAAUUUGAUAUACAAAGUUGUUGACUGAGUUGUCUAUGUGCUUGGAUGAGUUAAACUUGAUGGAAUUUCUGUUUUUAUGUUAUGGUUACGUUAGUCGAGUCGUUUUGGAAGAAAACGGGAGUUUCGUUUGAAAAUUCAAUUGUUAACCGUUUUGGAAAAUGAGUGUUUGUGUGAGGUUUGUAAAAUGAAUUUGAGGUUGUUGAAACUGGGAUUUUUCUGUGCAUUAUGAUAGUGCUAAGUGUUAGGAGCAU